This 500-nucleotide ribosomal RNA is filed under the name uncultured bacterium. RNAcentral's name for it is "bacterial SSU rRNA". It matches the Rfam family "Bacterial small subunit ribosomal RNA", at positions 30 to 507 of the family's 1533-position model. The record is from RNAcentral.
AUUGAACGCUGGCGGCAUGCUUUACACAUGCAAGUCGAACGGUAACAGGGCCUUCGGGGCGCUGACGAGUGGCGAACGGGUGAGUAAUGCAUCGGAACGUGCCCAGAGGUGGGGGAUAACGCAGCGAAAGCUGUGCUAAUACCGCAUACUUAGUCUGACGGAUGAAAGCGGGGGACUAAGCAGCAAUGUUUGGCCUCGCGCCUUUGGAGCGGCCGAUAUCGGAUUAGGCUAGUUGGUGGGGUAAAGGCUCACCAAGGCGACGAUCCGUAGCUGGUUUGAGAGGACGACCCAGCCACACUGGGACUGAGACACGGCCCAGACUCCUACGGGAGGCAGCAGUGGGGAAUUUUGGACAAUGGGGGAAACCCCUGAUCCAGCCAUUCCGCGUGUGCGAUGAAGGCCUUCGGGUUGUAAAGCACUUUUGGCAGGAAAGAAAUCGCACAAAUUAAUACUUUGUGUGGAUGACGGUACCUGCAGAAUAAGCACCGGCUAACUACGUG